RNAcentral lists this ribosomal RNA (481 nucleotides) under uncultured bacterium. Its description in RNAcentral is "partial 16S ribosomal RNA". It matches the Rfam family "Bacterial small subunit ribosomal RNA", at positions 28 to 507 of the family's 1533-position model. The record is from RNAcentral.
GAUGAACGCUGGCGGCGUGCCUAACACAUGCAAGUCGAACGGAGAUUACGGACGGAAGUUUUCGGAUGGAAGCCUGUAAUUCUUAGUGGCGGACGGGUGAGUAACGCGUGGGCAACCUGCCCUAUACAGGGGGAUAGCAGCUGGAAACGGCUGGUAAGACCGCAUAAGUCGGUUAAAUCGCAUGAUUUGAUCGGGAAAUGAGCAAUCAGGUAUAGGAUGGGCCCGCGUCCGAUUAGCCAGUUGGCAGGGUAAAAGCCUACCAAAGCGACGAUCGGUAGCCGGACUGAGAGGUCGGACGGCCACAUUGGGACUGAGACACGGCCCAAACUCCUACGGGAGGCAGCAGUGGGGGAUAUUGCACAAUGGAGGAAACUCUGAUGCAGCGACGCCGCGUGAGUGAAGAAGUACUUCGGUAUGUAAAGCUCUAUCAGCAGGGAAGAUGAUGACGGUACCUGACUAAGAAGCCCCGGCUAACUACGUG